UACUGCCAUAGCACCAACAUCCGCCUCUGAUGUCGUGGGCCAGCAUAAUAAAAUAGGAAGCGGAGCAGCCCUCUUAAGUGUUGCUAAAAGAAAGUGCAAAUGUGUAAUGUACUUAAUGUUAUCUUCAUUGCUAACAGUGUUUUUUUAUUGAUCAGUUAGUAGCUAUUGUACAUACAGCACAGCACCAUCUCAGAGUGUUUGAAGGAUGCAAGGAAAUUAGAGUUCCAAAACAUUUCCUCAGUGUUAGCAACAGAAGAGGCCACACAGAAGGAUGCAACAUCUGCUGGCCAGAGUUACCAAUUACUCAGCAAGCAUACAGAUGAAGUCAACAUGAACUGGAAGGGGACUCAGAGGGUUUCAUCAAGUUCUCAUCUCUCCGAGAGGGCACCUUGUAUCAGAGAACCACAGAAUGGCUGAGGUUGGCAGGGACCACCUGGCCCAACCCCUGUCCAGGCAGGGACACCCAGAGCAGGGCGCUCAAGACCACAUCCAGGAGUGUUCUGAAGAUCUCUAUGGAGGAGACUUCACAGCCUCUGGGCAACUUGUGCCAGUGCUCUGUCACCUGUGCAGCACAGAAGUGCUGCCUGAUGUUUAGAUCAUAGCUUUGCUUAGUUGUAAGUUCAAGGGAAGAAUAUCUCUUAAGAAGAAAGUAAUUUCCUGUUCUGAUUGGGUAUAAGCAAUGAGUGUCUAGUAUUUCACAGGUGGUUUUCAUUACUUUAACUAUUCCUAACCUUAACCAAUAAAACAAUUUUCUAAUACAGAUUUCUGAUUGAAGAUGCUCAUGCGAGUUGUGUGCAGGGGCUAUUUAUGGAUGUUGACUGACACAUUUAUCAUCAGGAGCCUCACAAUGAGAAGUCAA
Molecule: long non-coding RNA, 859 nt
Organism: Numida meleagris (helmeted guineafowl)
Lineage: Eukaryota; Metazoa; Chordata; Aves; Galliformes; Numididae
Exons: 3
Source: RefSeq, a predicted model, not a curated record